RNAcentral lists this microRNA precursor (109 nucleotides) under Brassica rapa (field mustard). RNAcentral describes it as "pre miRNA mir-166". It matches the Rfam family "mir-166 microRNA precursor family". Rfam says of the family: This family represents the plant microRNA (miRNA) precursor mir-166. The record is from Rfam by way of RNAcentral. Lineage: Eukaryota; Viridiplantae; Streptophyta; Magnoliopsida; Brassicales; Brassicaceae.
GUUCAGGUGGAUGAUGCUUGGCUCGAGACCAUUAAAUAUGAUCAUUGUGAUGUUGAUGAUGAUGAUGAUAAUGAUAAUGAUAGUCGGACCAGGCUUCAUUCCCCUCAAC